RNAcentral lists this long non-coding RNA (735 nucleotides) under Homo sapiens (human). RNAcentral describes it as "HSALNT0329542". Lineage: Eukaryota; Metazoa; Chordata; Mammalia; Primates; Hominidae. The record is from RNAcentral.
CAGUAAAUGCUGUGGCAUGAAGGACCCUCCUGGAGUGUCUGAGUUCUCAGGCUUCAAGGCCCCUAGAUAAGCAGAUUUCUCUCCCCUAUCACCAUAGUCACCCCAGGGACUGCAGGGCAGGCCGAAAUCAGCCAGUGACUCAGCUCCUUGGGCAAUUCAGCUGGCCCACAGACCACUUCCUCUGCUCCCCAGCGCCGGAUGGAUGCAGAUCUGUGAGUAAGGAGCCAGCUGCAGGCAAGCAGCUCGAGGGCAGGUGGGCAUGAUGUCUGGCUACCACUCGCACUGGACGCCACACACACAGCCAGGGUGGCAGAAGGCCCCACCUGCCAUGUGCCAGUGGGACACCACCCUCAUGGUCUGCGUUUCCAGGUUUCCAACUAAGGACUGAGCACACUCUCAACAUGGACCUCCUAACUGCUCUCGAGGAUGGACAGCUGGCCUCAAGGGAACACUGCAAAGUGGCUCUAGGAAGAAGCCACUGUCCCUCCAGACCAUAAAAAUGGCUACCAAGGGCAGAGCCAGCAGCUUUCGCUGUAAAGUUUCUCAAGAAAAUCACAGAUAUUCCCCUCUGUGAUGUUCAGCUCAGCCUGGAAAGGAGGACGCUGAACUAAACAGAAGAGAAACAGGGAAAUAAACAGCAUGGCAACCUACAUCAACAGAAACUUAAUUAUUCACCCUGGAUAACUGAGUGUGUGAGUGUGACUGCAAAUAACAAUAUAGCAAAGAGAAGUUUGA